Molecule: ribosomal RNA, 445 nt
Filed under: uncultured bacterium
Lineage: Bacteria
Description: partial 16S ribosomal RNA
Rfam family: Bacterial small subunit ribosomal RNA
Source: RNAcentral
GUGAGGAAUAUUGGUCAAUGGGCGAGAGCCUGAACCAGCCAAGUCGCGUGAAGGAAGAAGGAUCUAUGGUUCGUAAACUUCUUUUGCAGGGGAAUAAAGUGUAGGACGUGUCCUGUUUUGUAUGUACCCUGAGAAUAAGGAUCGGCUAACUCCGUGCCAGCAGCCGCGGUAAUACGGAGGAUCCGAGCGUUAUCCGGAUUUAUUGGGUUUAAAGGGUGCGUAGGUGGUUUGAUAAGUCAGCGGUGAAAGUUUGCAGCUUAACUGUAAAAAUGCCGUUGAAACUGUCGGACUUGAGUGUAAAUGAGGUAGGCGGAAUGCGUGGUGUAGCGGUGAAAUGCACAGAUAUCACGCAGAACUCCGAUUGCGAAGGCAGCUUACUAAGCUACAACUGACACUGAAGCACGAAAGCGUGGGGAUCAAACAGGAUUAGAAACCCUUGUAGUCC